RNAcentral lists this ribosomal RNA (506 nucleotides) under uncultured bacterium. Its description in RNAcentral is "partial 16S ribosomal RNA". It matches the Rfam family "Bacterial small subunit ribosomal RNA", at positions 29 to 523 of the family's 1533-position model. The record is from RNAcentral.
AGUGAACGCUGGCGGUAGGCCUAACACAUGCAAGUCGAACGGCAGCACAGGAGAGCUCGCUCUCUGGGUGGCGAGUGGCGGACGGGUGAGGAAUACAUCGGAAUCUACUUUUUCGUGGGGGAUAACGUAGGGAAACUUACGCUAAUACCGCAUACGACCUACGGGUGAAAGCAGGGGAUCUUCGGACCUUGCGCGAUUGAAUGAGCCGAUGUCGGAUGAGCUAGUUGGCGGGGUAAAGGCCCACAAAGGCGACGAUCCGUAGCUGGUCUGAGAGGAUGAUCAGCCACACUGGAACUGAGACACGGUCCAGACUCCUACGGGAGGCAGCAGUGGGGAAUAUUGGACAAUGGGCGCAAGCCUGAUCCAGCCAUACCGCGUGGGUGAAGAAGGCCUUCGGGUUGUAAAGCCCUUUUGUUGGGAAAGAAAUCCAGCUGGUUAAUACCCGGUUGGGAUGACGGUACCCAAAGAAUAAGCACCGGCUAACUUCGUGCCAGCAGCCGCCGUAA